Molecule: unclassified non-coding RNA, 253 nt
Filed under: plant metagenome
Description: partial contains small subunit ribosomal RNA, internal transcribed spacer 1, and 5.8S ribosomal RNA
Rfam family: Eukaryotic small subunit ribosomal RNA (bases 1-54)
Source: RNAcentral
GGAAGUAGAAGUCGUAACAAGGUCUCCGUUGGUGAACCAGCGGAGGGAUCAUUACAGAGUUGCAAAACUCCCAAACCAUUGUGAACGUUACCUAUCCCGUUGCUUCGGCGGGCGGCCCGGGCCCCGCGCCCGGCGCCCCCCGGCCCCCCGUGGGCGCCCGCCGGAGGUAAACCAAACCCUUGAAUUGCAUGGCCUCUCUGAGUCUUCUGUACUGAAUAAGUCAAAACUUUCAACAACGGAUCUCUUGGUUCUG